This is a long non-coding RNA of Canis lupus familiaris (dog), 654 nucleotides long. RefSeq lists it as uncharacterized. The transcript has 3 exons. The record is from RefSeq and is a predicted model, not a curated record. Lineage: Eukaryota; Metazoa; Chordata; Mammalia; Carnivora; Canidae.
GUCAGGGUCUCAGAAGAUUCCAUAACAGAAACUAUGUCAUGAUACCUGUGGUCACAUGAGGUAGUGUAUAGACCAGAUAAAGACAACAUGAAGGGUAUCUCAUAGGCUCCGAAGAACCACUACAGUUGAGGUUUUCUUAGUAACUGCAGCAAAGUAUGAGAAUUAGCAAACCACUUUGGUGGGAGUGAGGGAGUCAUGUGAUAUUGAUUGGGCAUGUUUCAUAUUCAUGAAGUCUGAAGAGGCCCCUGACCAAAUUAUGGUAAAUGCCAGAAAUCCUCCACAGUGCAGUAGAUCCAGGGAGGAUGGCCUUGCCCUGAACUUCAAUCACACUCUGCCUUCUGUAUUUGGUGCAGGACACUGUUCCCAGGCCUUCCUAAGGUGUAUCUCGGAAGUCUAGCGCUGUUCCUGGCGUUCAUGGACACUCAUAAUGGUCUGCUGUUAAGUGGUGCUUACCAAAUACCAGAACAGUUCCAACCAGUUAACUUACCUAAUCUUCACAAAAUGGAUUGAGGUAGGUGCCAUCAUUGUUGCCAUUCUAAACAUAGAGGACUGAGGCACAAAGAAAACUAUAUGUCAGAGCAAGAAUUUGAACCCAGGCAGUCUGGUGCCAGAAUCAACUUAAACCAUCAUAAAGAAAGAAAAAAGAAGAAAGAA